Salvia hispanica is the source of this 422-nucleotide non-coding RNA. Lineage: Eukaryota; Viridiplantae; Streptophyta; Magnoliopsida; Lamiales; Lamiaceae. The record is from RefSeq and is a predicted model, not a curated record.
AAAAAACUUUUAGAAAAAGAGAUAUUAGAAGGGGUUAGAAGGGGUUAGCUGAAGAAAAGAAAAAGUAAGGAAAUAUUUUGGGCAAAUAGGAUCAAGGGUUAUAAAUUAUAACUCGGAUUCAGGGAUUCAGUAAGUUUUCCUAUCAUAAUCAGUUAACAAGUGACGGAAAGGAAAGAAUCCAACUGAUGAAGCAACUGAUCCCGAUGCUGGAUAGAUUCAGCCUAUUGGAAAGGAAAUGAAAUCACUUCAUUUCAGGAGUUCUUCGGAACAUUUUAGUGGUCUAACUGCUAAACUUAAUUCGAAGUAGAGGAAUAGAGUCCGAGGGAUGGGAUUCGAACAACUGUUGCAUUUCUCAUUAACCAACAUUUUUGUUUUACAAUGUCAGUUACUAUCAAUGCAAUUUUUAACUUUUUGUGCUGCAA